Molecule: ribosomal RNA, 403 nt
Filed under: uncultured bacterium
Lineage: Bacteria
Description: partial 16S ribosomal RNA
Rfam family: Bacterial small subunit ribosomal RNA
Source: RNAcentral
AUUGAACGCUGGCGGCAGGCCUAACACAUGCAAGUCGAGCGAGCGUCGGACGGGUGUGUAAUGUAUGGGGACUGCACGAUAUAGGGGGAUAAAUACUGGAAACGGUAGCUAAUACCGCAUACUAUCUGAGAACCCCUAUGGGAUUAGCUAGUAGGUGCGGUAAUGGCUCACCUAGGGGACGAUCCCUAGCUGGUCUGAGAGGAUGAUCAGCCACACUGGAACUGAGACACGGCCCAGACUCCUACGGAGGAAGCAGUGGGGAAUAUUGCACAAUGGGAGCAAGCCUGAUGCAGCCAUGCCGCGUGUAUGAAGAAGGCCCUAGGGUUGUAAAGUACUUUCAGUCGGGAGGCGUUACCGACAGAAGAAGCACCGGCUAACUCCGUGCCAGCAGCCGCGGUAAUAC